Molecule: unclassified non-coding RNA, 372 nt
Filed under: uncultured bacterium
Lineage: Bacteria
Description: contains 16S-23S intergenic spacer region
Source: RNAcentral
UCCGGUUUGUCACCGGCAGUCUCAUUAGAGUGCCCAACUUAAAUGUAGCAACUAAUGACAGGGGUUGCGCUCGUUGCGCCACUUAAGGCAACAUCUCACGACACGAGCUGACGACAGCCAUGCACCACCUGUGCACGAGCCCCGAAGGGCUGCCGUAUUUCUACGACAUUCCCGUGCAUGUCAAGCCCAGGUAAGGUUCUUCGCGUUGCGUCGAAUUAAACCACAUGCUCCGCUGCUUGUGCGGGCCCCCGUCAAUUCCUUUGAGUUUCAACCUUGCGGCCGUAGUCCCCAGGCGGUUCACUUAAUGCGUUAGCUGCGGCACCGAGGGUUACCCCCCAACACCUAGUGAACAUCGUUUAAGGCCAAGACUAC